GGUUAGGACCUGAGACAAGGCGGUGGCCGCCAGUGGCAGCACUCGCACCAGGAACUCAAGGGUUCUGGGCCUGUGUCCUGGAGCUGCCCUGUGUCCCAGUGCUGCCUGUGACACACAUGCCACCUGGAGCCAGCAGGGCAGGCCGCAGGCGUGUGGAUCUGACCCUUGGAAUGUCCCCUCUGGACAGGCCUGGGGGACCUCCUGCUGCUCUCUGGGAGUUCGGGAGCCUCUUCUGCUGCAGACACAGCCCUCCCGCUGCAAGCCAGGGAGCUACCAUGCAACCAGCACCUGCAGCGCAGGAGAUGUGGACAUGGAAACGGCAAAAAUGGACGCCACAGGCCCAGACCCUUCCUUCAACAGGAAGGGAAUGGAGGUUGGAGAGGCUCCCUCACCUGCUGGGACUGGGCCCAGACGCAGCCUCACGGGGCAGCCCCACACCAGCACCCGCUCCCUGCCCUGUGCCCUCGGCUUCCUGGCUAGGACCCUGUGGCCCAGGCUGUAGAGGGCAAGGGCCUCACAGCUUGGGCAUGUCCCCUGGUGGCCCAGAAGUCGCUGUCCCCACAGGCGCUCCCUGCCAUCUGCUUUGCCCUCUACCCUAUCUCUGGGUGCUGUGGAUGGGCGGGGUGGCUGGUGGACCCUGGCUGGGGUUUUUGCUGUUGCUUUAGCAUCUACUGUGUGAAUGCAUGUGUGUGCACAUAUAUGCCCAUGUGUGAGCACGUGCCUGUAGACAUUGUGUGUGCACACGUGCCCCCGCGUGUAUGUGGUCAGCGCAUGCUUGAGCCCUGGGUGGCCAGUGCAGGGGAUACUGAUCCCCUCCCCAGCGGGGCUGCAGGGCCGGGGAAAGCCACUUUUUGAGUUUUGGGGUUGCCGCAGCUGGGAAUCUGGUGUGGAUGGGGCCUGGCAGGAAGGGUGGGGGGUGUGGGCUUGGCCUCUGCUCCCACUCAGACAGGGGGGGGGGGAAGCGUGAGACCUCUCUGGCUGCAGCCUCCCUUAGAAAGCUCAGAGCUUUGUUUUAUUGUGGGGCUGCAAAGUUUCUGCAGGAAUAAAGUUCAUUUUUUUUCCCCCUGCUUGAUUUUU
This 1077-nucleotide long non-coding RNA is filed under the name Oryctolagus cuniculus (rabbit). Its description in RNAcentral is "lncRNA (ENSOCUG00000034914.1)". The record is from RNAcentral. Lineage: Eukaryota; Metazoa; Chordata; Mammalia; Lagomorpha; Leporidae.